Long non-coding RNA from Melospiza melodia melodia, 1553 nucleotides. RefSeq lists it as uncharacterized. The record is from RefSeq and is a predicted model, not a curated record. NCBI's taxonomy places the organism in Eukaryota, Metazoa, Chordata, Aves, Passeriformes, Passerellidae. The transcript is spliced from 2 exons.
GAUAAUGUCCAUCUAUGUUGUUCACUAAGUAUGACCUAGAGAAAAGCUUACAAUCACCACUUUUCAGGGAAUAGAAGAAAAAGGCUUCUAUACCACAAUCCAUCACUGAAACACAGCCUGCCCUCUACUCCUUUGUAAGACCACUCUUCUGCAAGCAGUCUUGGGAUUGGUUGUUCCUUCAACUCUUUUUCAGCUGCUCAUGUGAAACCCAAGACUCUGUCUGAAGGCCAGAAUCCAAUCUCAGCCGCAUCAAAUACACCUGGAAGAAAUCACAUGACAAAGGGGGACUUAAUCCCAAAUAAAGCCUGCUACAUCAAGUAUCACUAGCACUUUCCACAACAAUAAAGAAAGGACCGGAUUUUCCUGGCAGAGCUCCAACAACAAGGGCAGCUGUGGAACAACCCAAAGUGGAGUGCUGGGGACAGUGCAGGCAUCCGUGAGUGGUCUGCAGCUGAGGAAGCAUUUCUGGGACCUGGCAAGGAGAGUCCUAAAGCACACCGACUGAGAGAAUGACUGUGGUUCCAAGCUACCGUGGUUCUGUGCCAGUUUCAGCUGGGGUAGAGUUAACUUUCUUCACAGUGGCUAGUACAGGGCUAUGUUUUGGAUUUCUGCUGAACGCAGAGUUGAUGGUAUAGAGGCAUUUUUGUUAUUGCUGAACAGGACUUACACAGAGCCAAAGCCUUUUCUGCUUUUUGACCUGAAAUGACCAAAGGAAUAUUCCAUCCUAGAUGAUGCCAUGCUCAUAUCUAACAUGGGGGAAGAAGGAGGAAGGUGGCACAUUUAGAAUUAUGGCAUUUGUCCUCCCAAGUAACCAUUGUGUGGGAUGGGAUGCUGCUCUCCCACAGGUAGCUGAACCCGUGCCUGCCAUUGGGAAACAGUGAAUUAAUUCCUUGGUUUGUUUUGCUUGUGUGUGCAGCUUUUGCUUUGCCUACUAAAGGGUCUUUUUCUCAAUCCAUGAGUUCUCUGUCUUUUACCCUUCUGAUUUUCUUCCCCAUCCUGCUGGUGGAGGAGCGAGCAAGCGGCUGCAUGGUACUUUGUUGCUGGCUGGGGUUAAACCAUGACAUGUUCUCCACAUGAAAAACUGUUUCACACAUUCUACACUGAUGACUAAUGAUAAUUUUGUAGUUUAGAAUAAUUCUCUGGAUUUAAAUUAAGAAAAGUAUCACAGCUUGCAAACUCAGGAUCUAAAAUAUAACUGCAUCCAGUGCUACUUGUCAGAAUGAUUAUGUAGAAUUUCCUUGGCUUCCAUUCAUAAAAACCUAUUUUAGAUGACUAAUGAAAACACACUGAUUUUCCUGUGUGCUAAGCACUUCCAAAUCUGUCAUUUUCUCACCUUCUUUUUCAGUGUAGUCUCUCCAUUAAUCCUAAAAACUAUCUACUUGUAUUCUCUGCAUGCCUGUACAGAAGUUCAGAUCAUUAACUUGGAAACUGCUGUUGAAAUAUGCUGUCUUCUGCCAGGUCUCAGACCUCCUUUAUCUGUCUCCAGGAAGUGAAGUUCAUUAUGUUUCCCCUGGACCAUGCAAAGCAGAAUAAUAAUCUUGUUUUAUAAAGUA